CUUGGUCAUUUAGAGGAAGUAAAAGUCGUAACAAGGUCUCCGUUGGUGAACCAGCGGAGGGAUCAUUACCGAGUUUACAACUCCCAAACCCAUGUGAACAUUACCUCUAUGUUGCUUCGGCGGAGCCGCCCCGGCGCCCGGAACCCCCUGCGGUCCCGCGGCCCGGAACCAAGGCGCCCGCCGGAGGCCACAAACUCUUCUGUUUUUACAGUUUCUUCUGAGUGUGCCGCAAGGCAGUAUACAAAUGAAUCAAAACUUUCAACAACGGAUCUCUUGGUUCUGGCAUCGAUGAAGAACGCAGCGAAAUGCGAUAAGUAAUGUGAAUUGCAGAAUUCAGUGAAUCAUCGAAUCUUUGAACGCACAUUGCGCCCGCCAGAAUUCUGGCGGGCAUGCCUGUUCGAGCGUCAUUUCAACCCUCGAGCUCCCCUUUCGGGGGGAGCCCGGCGUUGGGGACCCGGCGCUAACAACGCCGGCCCCGAAAUGGAGUGGCGGCCCGUCCGCGGCGACCUCUGCGUAGUAACAACCACUCGCACCGGGACCCGGGCGCGGCCACGCCGUAAAACACCCCACCUUCCGAAUGUUGACCUCGAAUCAGGUAGGAAUACCCGCUUGAACUUAAGCAUAUCAAUAAGCGGAGGA
Molecule: ribosomal RNA, 639 nt
Filed under: uncultured fungus
Lineage: Eukaryota; Fungi
Description: eukaryotic LSU rRNA
Rfam family: 5.8S ribosomal RNA (bases 254-407)
Source: RNAcentral